GUCCUUUUGUAGUUCAUAAGCGUGAUGACUUGGGCGUUAACGCAGUUGUGUGACAUGUGCCAUCCUUAAACCCUGUUAGACGCCUGCACAUUACCUGUCUGACA
Small nucleolar RNA from Suricata suricatta (meerkat), 104 nucleotides. Lineage: Eukaryota; Metazoa; Chordata; Mammalia; Carnivora; Herpestidae. The record is from Ensembl.